Bos taurus (domestic cattle) is the source of this 800-nucleotide long non-coding RNA. Lineage: Eukaryota; Metazoa; Chordata; Mammalia; Artiodactyla; Bovidae. The record is from Ensembl.
GGUUGGGCUGCGGCCCCCUGGCCGUCUGGAGAGCUGAUGGAGGUGGGGCGUGGACGGUGUCGAGAGCGGGGCUGGACUUGUGGGUUGUUGGUGAGGACUCCGUGUGUGCACACAUGCACACCCGCCACGUGGGGCGCAGGGCCCUGGGCCCCCAGAAAGAGCGCCCGGGUGACUGGGCUUCAGGGAGAACCCCACCGCACUCGAGGGGCUAGGUCCCACUGUGGGGUGCUCCUGCAGCUGUUCUCUCAACUGGCUCUGGCUUCGGGGACCCGUGGGCCGGGUGUCCCGAGAUCAGCUGGCCCACGUCCUUUCCCAGGAGGUGCCACCCCUCUGGGUGAGGGCAGGAUAGACCUCCAGGGUUCCGGAGGGCCUGCACGGACGCCCGGGCUGCCCCGCUGGACCACCCUCUGACGUCUGGGGGACUGGCGGGUCCUCGACACUACAGCUAUCUCCGCGCCCGGUGCCGGGACGGACGGAAGAGGGGCCACCCCGCUGCCCCAGGGAGGGUGGAGACCCAGGGAACUUGCUCCGGGAGGUUGGCCGGAGGUGGUCUGCGGGGGAGCGGGGCGGGGUUCCGGCCCUGGACCCCACACAUGAAGCCCCUUGGUCCCCCCAAACCUCGAUGGUAGGAUGAAGUUGUCCAGUCGUGUCUGACCGUUUGCGACCCCACAGGCUGUAGCCCACCAGGCUAGUCUGUCCAUGGGAUUCUCAUCCAGGCAAGAAUACUGGAGUGGGUUGCCAUGCCUUCCUCCAGGGUAUCUUCCUGACACAGGGAUUGAACCUGCAUCUCUUGCGUCGCC